Molecule: ribosomal RNA, 398 nt
Filed under: uncultured microorganism
Description: bacterial SSU rRNA
Rfam family: Archaeal small subunit ribosomal RNA
Source: RNAcentral
GUGCACCAGGCGAGAAAACUCCGCAAUGCCCGAAAGGGUGACGGGGGAUUCCAAGUGCCUACGCUUAGCGUAGGCUGUUCAGGUGCCUAAAAAGCACCUGGAGGAAAGGGCUGGGUAAGACGGGUGCCAGCCGCCGCGGUAAUACCCGCAGCCCGAGUGGUAGUCGCUUUUAUUGGGCCUAAAGCGUCCGUAGCCGGUCUGGUAAAUGCCUGGGUAAAUCGUGGGGCUUAACCUCACGAAUUCCGGGUAGACUGCCAGACUUGGGACCGGUUGAGGGAGAGGGUACUCCAGGGGUAGGGGUGAAAUCAGCAAGGUAAGCUGAUGUAACGUUGCCUUAGCAAGUCACAAUCCUGUAAUCCUUGGGGGACCACCGGUGGCGAAAAGCGCUCUCCUAGGAC